This 253-nucleotide ribosomal RNA is filed under the name uncultured bacterium. RNAcentral's name for it is "partial 16S ribosomal RNA". It matches the Rfam family "Bacterial small subunit ribosomal RNA", at positions 524 to 776 of the family's 1533-position model. The record is from RNAcentral.
UACGAAGGGGGCUAGCGUUGCUCGGAAUCACUGGGCGUAAAGCGCACGUAGGCGGUUCUUUAAGUCAGGGGUGAAAUCCUGGAGCUCAACUCCAGAACUGCCUUUGAUACUGGGGAUCUCGAGUCCGGAAGAGGUGAGUGGAACUCCGAGUGUAGAGGUGAAAUUCGUAGAUAUUCGGAAGAACACCAGUGGCGAAGGCGGCUCACUGGUCCGGUACUGACGCUGAGGUGCGAAAGCGUGGGGAGCAAACAGG